Molecule: unclassified non-coding RNA, 260 nt
Filed under: Hevea brasiliensis (rubber tree)
Lineage: Eukaryota; Viridiplantae; Streptophyta; Magnoliopsida; Malpighiales; Euphorbiaceae
Source: RNAcentral
AACGGACAAACGUGGACCUCCAUUGGGGCUUCCAUCAACAAAGACGAUAUUGACAAGAUGAGAAUACAGAGAAUUGAGUUCAUCGAUGGAUUUGGACUUGAGGAAACAGAGUAGUUGAUCCUUAGUUGGCCCCUUUGAGCCUGCAGCAAUCAGGCCUAGUACUAUUUGAAUCGAGAGAGGAGAGAACACGAGGUUGGUAUCGCCUUUAAUCUCUUUGGAAAAGACAUGCUUUGCGAGAAUGAAAGAAACAUCCGUUUGGG